Molecule: ribosomal RNA, 866 nt
Filed under: Saccharomycopsis selenospora
Lineage: Eukaryota; Fungi; Ascomycota; Saccharomycetes; Ascoideales; Saccharomycopsidaceae
Description: LSU rRNA
Rfam family: Eukaryotic large subunit ribosomal RNA
Source: RNAcentral
UUGCCUUAGUAACGGCGAGUGAAGCGGCAAAAGCUCAAAUUUGAAAUCUAACACUUUCAGUGUUCGAGUUGUAAUUUGAAGAAAGUUUCUCUGAGUAGUCCUUUAUCUAUGUUCCUUGGAACAGGACGUCAUAGAGGGUGAGAACCCCGUAUGAUUUUGGAUACUAUUCUUUGUGAGAUUCUUUCGAAGAGUCGAGUUGUUUGGGAAUGCAGCUCUAAGUGGGUGGUAAAUUCCAUCUAAAGCUAAAUAUUGGCGAGAGACCGAUAGCGAACAAGUACAGUGAUGGAAAGAUGAAAAGAACUCUGAAGAGAGAGUGAAAAAGUACGUGAAAUUGCUGAAAGGGAAGGGCUUUAGGUUAGACUUGGUGUUUAAUGAUUAUCUUCCCUUCUGGGUUGUGCACUCGUUUUUCACUGGGCCAAUAUCAGUUUUGGAGACAAAGUACCUUUUGGAAUGUGGCUUUCUUCGGGAAGUGUUAUAGCCUUAAGACGAUUUGUUUCUGGGACUGAGGACUGCGCUUUGUGCUAGGAUAUUGGCGUAAUAACCUUAAGCCGCCCGUCUUGAAACACGGACCAAGGAGUCUAACGUCUAUGCGAGUGUUUGGGUGUAAAACCCGUACGCGUAAUGAAAGUGAACGUAGAUUGGGGCCUUCGGGUGCACAAUCGACCGAUCCUGAAGUUUUCUGAUGGAUUUGAGUAAGAGCAUAGCUGUUGGGACCCGAAAGAUGGUGAACUAUGCCUGAAUAGGGUGAAGCCAGAGGAAACUCUGGUGGAAGCUCGUAGCGGUUCUGACGUGCAAAUCGAUCGUCGAAUUUGGGGUAUAGGGGCGAAAGACUAAUCGAACCAUCUAGUAGCUGGUUCCUGCCGAAG